Molecule: ribosomal RNA, 494 nt
Filed under: uncultured bacterium
Lineage: Bacteria
Description: partial 16S ribosomal RNA
Rfam family: Bacterial small subunit ribosomal RNA
Source: RNAcentral
GACGAACGCUGGCGGCGCGCUUAACACAUGCAAGUCGAACGGAAAGGCCUGCUUUCCCUUGUGGAUUGCGGGUACUCGAGUGGCGAACGGGUGAGUAACACGUGAGUGAUCUGCCCCCAACUUGGGUAUAAGCCUGGGAAACUGGGUCUAAUUCCCGAUAGGACUGCAGGGUGGUGCCUGUGGUGGAAAACGAUUUUCUAGUGGUUGGGGAUGAGCCCGCGGCCUAUCAGCUUGUUGGUGGGGUAAUGGCCUACCAAGGCGGCGACGGGUAGCCGGCCCGAGAGGGUGGACGGCCACAUUGGGACUGAGAUACGGCCCAGACUCCUACGGGAGGCAGCAGUGGGGAAUAUUGCACAAUGGGCGGAAGCCUGAUGCAGCGACGCCGCGUGGGGGAUGACGGCCUUCGGGUUGUAAACUCCUUUCGACCGCGAGGAAGCCACCUGGUUGGAAGGGUGGUGACGGUAGUGGUAGAAGAAGCACCGGCUAACUACGUG